CGCUGCGGGAGGGUAUGGGGCGCACAUUUGCAAAGACGAAUCCGGAGCAUUGUGAGAUCCACAAACAAAAGGCAUCACUCAAAGGUGCUGCAAUCAGGUUCGUGGAGUUUUGGGAACCAGACAGCUCUGGUGUCCCCCACCCCCAAGCCCUCAACCCGCGGUGUCACAGCCCCCUGGACUGCAGCCAGCCCUAGAAACCAGCGUUCUGAGGCUGUGUGCGCUCCGCAGCGCCCCCCGGCACCCCCCCCCCCAUCUCCCUGCAGCCACCCAGGUUAUGCUCUGCUGGCAGCACAGAAAAACCCCGCUGGGCUGCAACAGGUCUAUGACUCAGUUAUCAAAGCCCUCGCUCUGCUUGGGGUUUGGGGAAAUUUCCGCAGUCAGGUGGGUGCUGCAUGCCGCAAGGCGUCGUGACAAAAGGAACCAACGUAAGAGCAGAAGCAGAACACGCUUCUGCUCAUUGAUUUGAAUCAGAAUGCGGGUCGUCAAUGGAGAUGCGCGUGACUGUAGAAUUCCUUCUACACCUGAGCUCCAAACAGAUUGCAGCUCCUGUCAUACCUUGGCAACUAAUAGAAGCAAUGAGAGAGAAAUGGUAAAAAUAAAUCAUUCCAGCCCGGAGAGCAUCUCCAUAUGGUUCUCAAAGUGGUUGUUCGUCAGAAAGUUGAUGAAAGUUGGUACUAGCUCACCAUCACUGGACCAAAUCCGUCCCCUUGUGACAAUGACAUUCCUCUUGUGAUCUGUGAAAGUGUCGCUCACCCUGGAAUCAGUGGUGUCUUUGUAACCCCGAUUUGCAAAUGUUCUCGGGGCCUGGAUGGUUUUCUGAUUUGUCCUCUAACUCCAAAGAUUGCCUGAGAAUAUUCUAGAAGUAGUUGUUUGUGGUAGUCAUCAUUUCUGUCUACUGACUGAAAUAGGGUGCUGCCAUUUAAGAUUAUGCUGAGGAAAAAUUUGUUGACUUGAGAAAGUAUUCAUAGUACACUAUUAAGUUAAAAAAAUAAAGCAGACUCAGCAAAGCUUUCAGUGUAUCAUAUGAUGCUGUUUUUGUUAAAUAACCAGCUACUUAUAGGCAUCAUACAAAGGCCAGAAGGAGUGUCGCAAACCAUUACUGUGGUGGUUUGUUUGUCUUUUCCGUGGUGCUUUUCUGCAUUUUCUAAGUUUUAAGUGUCGAUCUCAUAUUGCUUUAGUACUGAGGAAAAUUUCUCUCAGUGAAUGUUAAUAGGGUGCCCUUCCGAAAAACAGGAAGAGGAGCAAAGACGUGAGAUACGUGUGGUUAUUUCAUUCACUUAUUUCUUCACUUGUGAUUUUUAUUCUGCCUUCAAAAUUUUGCCAUAUUUGUUUCUUGAUUGAGUGAUUGAUGGUAGGAAUUAGACCCACAGCCUUCCCAUAACCCCAGCCUCCCUUUUUCAUUAUUUUUUAUUUUGAAGCAGGGUCUUGCUAAGUUGCUCAGCCACUCAGAGUGCUGGGAUUCCAGGUGGGUGCCACCACACCCAGUUUAUUCAGUCUUUUUUUUUUUUCCUGUUUGUUAGGAAACAAGUGUGUUUAGCACUUAUAAUGUGCUCAGCACGGACAGUUUCAGGCGCUGGGCCGCAGAGUAUGUUUGCUCGAAUCCAGUACCUUGGUUCUUACCAAGCUCAGCUUAGGAGGGCGCCGGAGCCCACGGAAACGCAGAGUCACUCGCUAGCGGCUCUGCAGGGGUGCUCCUGCGUGGGGCCUGGCGAUGUCCUGGUUUAAAGGUGGGCCUGGGGGAUUCUGACAAAUUACCAGGCACCUUCCUUUGAUACCCUUGGGCAUAAAUGAAGUAGAGCCUUUGACACAUGGUGGGAUAUGAAGACCCGACUUGUUGGCUCCACCAUGGAAUCCCACUCAAGUACCCCAGAGUGUCCCCCGACCCUUGCUGCUUAGCCACACUGUCUUACUUUAGAAUGUCUAAGAGGGAAGAUAAUCAAAAUAUACGUAGCCCCUUUGGAGACUGAGAGGUGUGGCAAGCCCUUCCUUCCGUAAGCCAGUCCAAAGCAACAGCACAGGAGCUGAUCGUCAUUCCAGCAGCAGCCACUACUACUCAGCUUCCGCCAGCCACUUUCGAGCCACCUGCCCUUUUCAUCCUCUGCACCUUACAGGUUGAUUCUACAUAGAAUCAUCCUAUGUUACUGACGAGGAAACUGAGGUUCAGAGAGGCUAGUGAGCAUGCCAAGAUUACACGUGCCGGUUAGUUUGUCCCCAAAGACCCUGGGUUCCACUACUGCACUAUCCCCAGUGGCCAGUGCCACCUCUGGCUGUAGGCUGGCUCAGAGCUCCAGAGUAGGGACCGGUGCCAGGCAGCUGGCUACCCGCUGUCUGUUUUCUGGUGUGAAAUUAUUACUUAACCUUAACCUUCUAGAACUAUGCCCUUCAUGGUCCCGGCUAGCGCAGAUGUAGAGGCACUUGGUAGAAGGUGUAAAACAGCCGGCAGCGAGUUUCCACAGCCCCUUGGAAGUGGGCAGUGUUCUCCCGAAUUACACAUUCCUGGGCAGAGGAGUAUGGAGCUCCCCCUCGAGCGGUGCGCUGGGGAUGUGGUGAGGCCCGGGGCCUGCGGCUGCGCCUUUGCUGUGGGGACAGGGGGGCCCUUUGGGUAUUGACAACAUCACAGAGACAUUAUUACAGCUUUUGUUUUAUUGCAAAUCUGUUUUGAAGAAAAACUUCCCUGCUUCUCCAUCCCCAGGCAAAAUUUGUCACUCUUUUAAAUCUACUCGGAUGUGCCAUUUUUAUUUUAUUGAGACACAGUUCACAUGCCAAAAAUUCAUGUAACCUUUUCUUUUUAUUUAUUUAUUGGUUGGUUGUUGUUGUGCUAGGGAUCACAUCUAGGGCCUUAUGCGUGCUAGGCAAGUGCCCUACCACUGUGCUAUGCCCCCAACUCUGGUGAACCCUUUUAAAGUAGUUUCAGUGGUUUUUCAUAUAUUCACAGAGUUGUGCUAUCAUCACCAUUAUUAUGUGCUAUCAUCACCAUUAUCUAAUUCCAAAACGUUUCCAUAGCCCAAGAAAUUAUUUAUUUAUUUAUUUAUUUAUUUAUUUUUUGAGACAGGGUCUUGCUAUGCAGUUCAGGCUGGCAUUGAGCUCACUUUGUAGCCCAGGCUGGUCUCGAACUCGCGACGAUCCUCCUGCCUCAGCCUCCUGAGUGCUGGGAUUACAAGCAUGCACCACCAUGCCUGGCCCUGAAAUCUUUGUUGUUGCUGUUGUUGUUUUGUUUUGUUUUGGUUUUGAGACACAUUAGUUCAGGGGCCUUGGAACUCGCUAUGUAGCCCAAAUUGGCCUUGAACUCUUCAGGGAUCCUCUUGCCUCAGCCUUCUGAGUGUUGGAUUACAGGUGUGUUGGAUUACAGGUGUGUACCACCAUGCCUGCCAGUAGCCCCAAGGAAAUUUUAUCCUCAUAUCCCAGCAAACUCCGGUGAUUUAAAUGGUUAUAUCUUUUCUCCUUAAUUGUGUUGUGAGACUAUGGGACAGGUUACUCUUCCUGGCUCAUAGUAAGUAUUUAGUAAAUGUUUGUUCUUGGUAGUAAAGUUUUCAAUUUUAAGACUAUUCACCUUUUUUUCUGGCCUUUAUGAUAGUUUAAAAAUUUUAGUAAAUGAUAAGAAAAAACCAUAGAGCUGUUUUCCCCUUCUUUUUUCAUUUAGACUCAGAGGUCUCGUAUCUGUUGGGUAAAUAUUUUAUUGGCCUUACUUUUAAUUCAGUUUGAUGUAGGAAAAGACAAGGCCAUCUUGAAUCUUCUUCUCACACAAACAAUGAUAGUUCAGUGAUCCUUUCCUCUUUCUUUCCUUCUUUCUUUCUUUCUUUCUUUCUUUCUUUCUUUCUUUCUAGCUCAUAAAAAUACACAGCUUAGACUGUGGGAAAAGGGGAAGUAAAGUUGAACUGUUGAUAUGCCUGGGUCUGAACUGGUUGUUUACAGAAUGAAAAGCAGGUCACUCAUAGGCUGGGACGUGGCCUUGGUCACGCCUGGGAAUCUACAAACUCAAUUCUCUCUCAUUGGCAGAACAUGAAAGCUAAAGAUUAUCCUCUAAUCCUGUGGCAUUUUUAAAUCCAUGCAAUGGGCUUUGUUGCUCAAAAAUUUCCACUUAAAGUCACACACUCUUUUGGAGGUACAAAUAUUUUGGUUAGCCCAGUGGUAUCUAUGGAAAGACUUACUAGAAUGAAUGCUAUGGUCAGUGCAGAUGCAGGCUGGAUUGUCCCUCUCCAGGAGCGACACUCUCAAGUCCUACUUCUUUUUAAAUUCAAAUAGCACAUGUGAUGUCUUUCUUCUGAUAAACAAGAGGAUAAGAAGCAAUGCACUGUGGGAAAGCGGAAACCACCCUCAUGUCCACCAACGGAUGAGAGGGCAAACAAAAUGUGGCAUAUCUAUACAGCGAAAUAUUAUUAGAUCCUAAAAAGGAACAUGCUGUCAUAUGGAUGUACCUGGAAAAAAAUGAGGCUGAGUAAAAGAAGCCAGACAUAAAAGGCCGCAGG
This is a long non-coding RNA of Chinchilla lanigera (long-tailed chinchilla), 4466 nucleotides long. The record is from Ensembl. Lineage: Eukaryota; Metazoa; Chordata; Mammalia; Rodentia; Chinchillidae.